CGGACGGGUGAGUAACGCGUGGGUAACCUGCCUCAUACAGGGGGAUAACAGUUAGAAAUGACUGCUAAUACCGCAUAAGACCACAGAGCCGCAUGGCUCGGUGGGAAAAACUCCGGUGGUAUGAGAUGGACCCGCGUCUGAUUAGGUAGUUGGUGGGGUAACGGCCUACCAAGCCAACGAUCAGUAGCCGGACUGAGAGGUUGACCGGCCACAUUGGGACUGAGAUACGGCCCAG
Molecule: ribosomal RNA, 235 nt
Filed under: uncultured bacterium
Lineage: Bacteria
Description: partial 16S ribosomal RNA
Rfam family: Bacterial small subunit ribosomal RNA
Source: RNAcentral